GAAACUAUACAGCUUUAUGUUACCUGCGAGGGAAGGUUUUCGCCAAUCGUAAACUAAAGAUCGGUGGGACUUUCGUUCGUCUGUGCUAGGCUACGAAACGU
This 101-nucleotide microRNA precursor is filed under the name Lottia gigantea (owl limpet). RNAcentral describes it as "microRNA lgi-mir-278 precursor". Its record names the gene lgi-mir-278. The record is from miRBase by way of RNAcentral. Lineage: Eukaryota; Metazoa; Mollusca; Gastropoda; Lottiidae.